CCCUGCCGUGCCACGCGAAGCCCUGCCCCACCUCGCCGCUGACAAGAACGGUCUGAAGCAAUCCACUCCAGCUGACGAGAAUGGUGCCAGCAUGGGGGUUACUCUCGGUCCUCAGGCAGGUGGUGUGUGUGGAAUCCAUGAGUCACAAUGGUUCUGCCGUCCAGCUGCGCCUCACAGUGGUACACAGCUGCGCCCUCCUCCACAGGCAGCACCGCCCGCACCUAUAAGAGAGAGAGAGAGAGGCGCCAGGCAGGGGAGGAAAGAAUGAAGUAAAGAAAGAAAGGACAAAACACACGCCUCUUUUUUCUUCUUUUUUCAUGUUUAACUCCUUCUCCUCCUUUUCCUUCUGCGUUAGCAAAGGAAAUUAUCAAAUAAGGAAAGGAGGAAUGAAAUGUGAAGAAAGAGGGGAGGAAGCAGACUCUCCUUAUUACCGAACGCCAUUAUUCUUCCUACUUUCAUGUUUAUCUGCUCCUUCUCCUUAUUAGUGAAAAGAAUGAUUAAAUAAGAAAAGAGAGGAGGAAGGAAAGUUAAGGUUCUAGCUAUGAAAUGCAUAUGAUUGUUCCCCCUCCUCCUCCUCUUCAUUAAUGUUGUACUAGUGAAAUUAAUGCAUAUAUAAGGACUGCGCCAGAUAAGAAAAUUACGAAGUAAAGAAAUUCAAAUUAAAGAAGGAAAGAUG
Scylla paramamosain (green mud crab) is the source of this 676-nucleotide long non-coding RNA. RefSeq lists it as uncharacterized. NCBI's taxonomy places the organism in Eukaryota, Metazoa, Arthropoda, Malacostraca, Decapoda, Portunidae. The record is from RefSeq and is a predicted model, not a curated record. The transcript has 3 exons.